GAUGAACGCUAGCGGCAGGCCUAACACAUGCAAGUCGAGGGGGAGGUUACUUUCGGGUAACUGAGACCGGCGUACGGGUGCGUAACGCGUAUACAAUCUGCCUUUCACUGGGGGAUAGCCCGAAGAAAUUUGGAUUAAUACCCCAUAGUAUAGUAAUACGGCAUCGUGAUGCUAUUAAAGCUUAGGUGGUGGAAGAUGAGUAUGCGUUCUAUUAGCUAGUUGGAGAGGUAACGGCUCCCCAAGGCGAUGAUAGAUAGGGGUUCUGAGAGGGAUGUCCCCCACACUGGUACUGAGAUACGGACCAGACUCCUACGGGAGGCAGCAGUGAGGAAUAUUGGACAAUGGUCGGAAGACUGAUCCAGCCAUGCCGCGUGCAGGAUGAAGGUCUUAUGGAUUGUAAACUGCUUUUGUAAGGGAAGAAUAAGGGCUACGCGUAGUUUGAUGACGGUACCUUACGAAUAAGCAUCGGCUAACUCCGUG
Molecule: ribosomal RNA, 480 nt
Filed under: uncultured bacterium
Lineage: Bacteria
Description: partial 16S ribosomal RNA
Rfam family: Bacterial small subunit ribosomal RNA
Source: RNAcentral